This 253-nucleotide ribosomal RNA is filed under the name uncultured bacterium. RNAcentral's name for it is "partial 16S ribosomal RNA". It matches the Rfam family "Bacterial small subunit ribosomal RNA", at positions 524 to 776 of the family's 1533-position model. The record is from RNAcentral.
UACGUAGGGUGCAAGCGUUGUCCGGAAUUAUUGGGCGUAAAGAGCUCGUAGGCGGUCUGUCGCGUCUGCUGUGAAAACUCGGGGCUUAACCCCGGGCCUGCAGUGGGUACGGGCAGACUAGAGUGCGGUAGGGGAGACUGGAAUUCCUGGUGUAGCGGUGAAAUGCGCAGAUAUCAGGAGGAACACCGAUGGCGAAGUCAGGUCACUGGGCCGCAACUGACGCUGAGGAGCGAAAGCAUGGGGAGCGAACAGG